Molecule: long non-coding RNA, 10352 nt
Organism: Globicephala melas (long-finned pilot whale)
Lineage: Eukaryota; Metazoa; Chordata; Mammalia; Artiodactyla; Delphinidae
Source: RefSeq, a predicted model, not a curated record
UCAUCAUUGGUGUCAUGUGAUUGCACUUUGGCUUCUAAUGAAUCUUUUUCUGUUUAUCAUAUUGGUCACCAGUAAGAAGUCACAGAACCUCAGGAUGCUUUGGUAACCAAAAGAAAUCCUUGGUGUGUGUUAUGGGCUGAAUCGUGUUGAAAUCCUAACCCCCACUACCUCGGAAUAUGAUUGUAUUUAGAAAUAAGGUAUUUACAGAGGUAAUUAAGUUUUAAUCAGGUCAUUAGGGUGGGCCCUGAUUCAAUAUUCCUGAUAUCCUUAUAAGAAGAGGAGAUUAGGACACAGACACACUGAAAGUGAUGAUCGCGUGAAGACCGAGAGAACGCAGCCACCUCCAAGCCAAGGAGAGAGGCUCGCAAGAAACCAGACACACUGACGUCUUGGACUCGCAGCUUCCAGAACCGGAGGAAAGAAAUUUCUCUUGUUUAAGUCACCCAGUCUAUGCUGCUUUGUUAUGGCAGUCCCAGAAAACUGUUACAGUGUGUUGCCAUGGAAUUCUCUACUUGCCCCUGGAAUUUUGUAGAAAGGGACUUGGGGAGCAGAGAUGCUGGCAACAACAAUGGAGAGAAGGAGGAGGAAUGACCAUUGGUUGCAUGUAUCUGCUGUGGGAGAGGACAGAGAAUAUCACGGAUGGUAGCAGGACUGGUGAAUUAUUUUAUUGAGAGAGUAGAGAGUGAUGUGUUCUGGAGAUCACCUGAGUGUUACAGAGGAAAACAAACAUGGGCCGGGCUUCAUGACAUGGGGUGUUUGCCUACUGCUAAAGGGCUUCUGGGGAUUGGAAGAGAGGUAUGGUGAUGAUGUACAGUGUAGUCCUUAGUUUUGUACAACUUCCAUAUAUAUCCUAUUUAAGAAAUACUCAUUGAGCUUUACCAUGUGUUAUGUCCUGACCCUAAGUUUAGACCUAUGAGAUAAGAUCCAUUUCUGUCUUCAAGGCUCUCCAAAACAAAUAAGGAGUUUACAGUAUACUGAUUUGUCAUUGCCCAGCAAUGACAAAUAUUAUUAUUUUUAAAAUAUUAUUAUUAUUAUAGGCAAUGUGUGUUGAGCACUCAUUAUGUUCUAGGCAUUGUGCUAAAUGCCCAUUACAAAGAUUUGAAAAGGCUGCUUAUACGUUAGGCAACUUAAUUAAGUCAGCUACCCAAGGAGGAGCCAGGAUUUAAAGAUCAAUCAAAUCAAUGACAUAGAUGGCUAGGCAAUACUAACCAGCACACUUAGAAUUACUAGAGCGUGAAUCCCUAUGAUGGUUUGAAACACAGAUUUGGAAGUCAGACCUAACUUAGGCCACUGGAUGAGAAAAUCCAAACUGGCAUUUGUGGAAUGUUACCUUGUGUCCUCUCUGUACAUGUCAUUGUCAAGGAAAUCUUUGCUGCACAGUAAAUAGCCAUUCAUAGAGUGUGAGUCCAUGGUAGAGGCACUUCCUCUUGUCAUCAUCAGAAGGUAAGUGCAAGAUGAUGAGUGGGUUCUUUUGAGUCUGGCACUGUGUCUGCCAAUGAAUUUUUCUGUUUCCACUUGCAUUUCUGUCCUCCUUUUAUGUCUUCCUAAAAAAUUAGAUAUUUGUUGGUCAAUGCAGCAGCUAACUAUUUGAUAGCAUCUAGUGACAUUCCAGUUUAUCAAUUUAUAGUGAGAAAUAGAAUCUGUGCAAACGACAAAACCUUUAUCAGUCUGACCAUCACACUGUGUCCCUGGAGGCCUUGGAAGCUGGAUUAUAAUCAAAGGGUUGCAUGAAGUGCGUGGAAUCAGAACAGAGUUAGAUAAAUCACAUAUUGAAUGGUUUCAGGCUAAGACAUCCUGUUUCAUCCCAUCUUCUCCAGAGGUAUGGGCCUUCCAGUGGGAGUGGAAUACCCAAAGUGUGCAAUAUUCCAGACUGAUUCCAAAGAACUGAAAGUGACCAGCCUUGAGAAAUAUGGAUGAUAAUGAGAAUUAUUUUUCUCACGUCUUCCCUCCCUCCCUCUCUUCCUUGCGUCCUUCCAUGCUUCCUUUCUUCUUCUCUCUUCAUUUUCCUUUCUCUGACUUCCUAUUUCUGUUACAUCUUUUUAUACUACACUAGCUGCAAAUAUGAACCAAGAAACGUCAUUAAUUUUACCUAAGUGAGGUACCUAUUUUUCCAGAAAUGUAGAAUUAGAAAAAAAAAAGAGAGAGAACUAAAAGGAUAGAUGAAAAUAAUGAGAUUUAAAGAGAUUGUGUUUCACUCAAAGUUAAUAUAACUAUAUUGUCUGAGGAGAGACUAGAACUCAGGCCUUCCAAGUCAUCACCAUUUUUCUUAAUAAUGACUGAAUUUGAGUUAAGGCAAAUAAUGUUCUCUUGUUGUAUUAAACUUCUCUGUUUUCUUAAAAAAUAUUCAGAUGUUUCUGUGUGUGAAUAAGUCUUUAACUAGGAAAUCUUUAUAAGGCUGUCAUAUGGGUCAAAUAAGAUUUACUUGUCUAUGCUUUUCAAAGAGGAUAAUUCAUUAGGUAUCUGAUUUUAGAAUUCUAGUUGCAAAAUGAUAUUGCAACUUAAUGACUAAUGAUUUUAAUAUUUCACUUUGCUUAUUUGUAUGUGUGUAUAUAAUAUGUGUGUUUGUAUAAGCAGAAAGUAGCUAUUUGAAUACCAGGCUUGGGCGACUGUUGAGAUUUCAGUGAAAAGACUCUGUAAGACUUGGAUUUCAAUGAGUCUUUCAGAUAUUUCAUUUUAUUUAGGAUGAUUUGUGAUUAUUUCCUGUUGUCAUAAAAGGCCACUUAAGCCUCUGGCAUGCCUUGAAUUGUCCCAGAAGGGGCUUCAUGGAAUAGUAGAAAGUUCUCUAAACCCUGAAACCAGGUGGACUUAGGUUUGAACUGAAGCUCUGCCACUGAAUAAUUUGUUACCUUGGGCAACUUGAUUAACCUCUCUGAACCCAGCUUAUCAUAUGAAUAUGGUACGAUGAUCUGUUAAUAUACCGACUUACCUUUCUUCUUGCUAUUCUCCAUCCCAAGACAGUAGGUGGAUGCCCUUGCCUCAGGACCGUAAUGGCUUACUGCAUAAGUUGCAGGUCCCAAUAUGACAGCCUCUCACCAAGACAUCUGGAAAAUUGAUGGGGGCUGGAACUUGGAGCUGGUGAGUCAGAGGAAGCCGACCCUGAGAAGAGAAGAGAAACUCACUCCUGGAGUCAGGGAAGAUGAUGGUGUUUUGUGUAAGAGGCGUAGGGCUUGUGAAGGGCCAGUUCAUGGAUACCAGGACUGACUAAGAGCUAUGGCCUGAGAAGUCACAGGGAACAAGCCGUGUCCAUGCUAGUCAUGGAGCACGUGGAGCCACCUGCCUGUGAGUGGAGCCCGUGGGCCUGUGGGCCUGAUGGCCAAGAGAGCGGACCUCUCUCUAGAUUUAGGAAAAUAAGGUCAUGGAACACUUUUGACUAACACUCCAUAUCUUCUUGCACCAGGCAUCUUCACAAUAUCAUCAGAGCAUUGGGACCACUUGAGCAAAGAACACCGAAAAAGACAAAAGAGCUUCGCCAACCUCUGUGCUCUCAGGAGGGGCUGAUUUCAAGGCAUCCAGUUAGCUGUGGGAACAGAAGUGCUGACAGGGGCACCCAUCACUCUGGAGGCCCCAUGGGCCAGGAGGCCAUGAGGAAGCAGCGGCAGCACUUGUCAGAGCCCAGAAGGGCCUCUUGGAGGAAGCAUCAGAGGGUGGUCUUAUGAGAAAAUCCACAAUUUUAUAGCUGGUACAUUUGAUGUUGGAAGAAUGGAACAUGCAGAGGUGAAAACUAAGGAUUGUGUUCAUGUGGGCUUCCAGGCCAUCAAGAUGCCCUCCAGCCUGAAGCAGGAAGUGAACAAUGGCUCGAUCAAAGUGGAAGAAACUUCAGAAGCACUGAUAAAGACAGGACACAUUAAGUGAGUAUAUAUACCAUGUGAGGAAACCUGAGCAGGGCUCCUGGAGUGCCAAGUUUUACAUGGCAGUGGUUACAUGGGGUGAAACUGGUUGGUGGCAUGAACAGUCUUUGCACACUGCACAGAAGGCAGAUCUACCCCACCUACUGGGGAGGUAACCUGAACCGCUGGACUUGAAUACAACAGUUGGGACACAACAGUUGAAUCUGAGACUUAGACAAAUGGAGUGACUUAUGCAAAACCACACGGUCCAGAGCUGGGAUAAAUGAGAAUCCAGUUCUCAUUCCUUUUCAUGGUCCCUCCACAUUAGUUCACAGAACAUCCUAUCAAAAUGAUGACUGUUACAGCGAAGGGUCCCCACAAAAACUCAAUAUCCACACUUGAUCAGUGGAAGCAAUGCUUUGUCAUCUGGUUCCAGUGAAUUUUAUGUAAGAAAUAAUCCUCUCUAAUGCUUUCUCUGAUUCCCAGCUUUGCAACAUUCUCUUUCUAUAAGAAAAGAAUUGAAUGGAUGUUAACUAGACUUACUGUGGUGUUCACUUCACAAUAUAUACAAAUAUUGAAUCAUUAUGCUGUACACCUAAGGCUAAUAUAAUGUUGUAUGUUAAUUAUACUUAAAAAAAACUUAAAGAAAAUAAUUGUAUACUUUUCCCACUAAGGAUGGAGAAAAGAGAGUUAAGCUGACUUCACUUGGUGUUUUAAUUCUUUUUCUUGCUAUUAAAUAUCUUUCAUCUUCAAUUUCUCUGUCUCCUUUCUACCCCAAAUACCUCAGACCACCACCAGGAUACCAGGUAGUAGAAAAUGGUAUAAGCUUGAGGGUUGCUCUCUUGGGAAGUAAUAAUCACCAUGUCAGUGUGUUAGAAUUUAUGCAGUGGAAAUAUUUCAUUUGAACCUACACAUCUCUAUAGCAGUAAGAAAUUAUGAUCUUCAUUUUAGAGAUGAUGAAACCACAGUUUUCUGACAAGAAGAUGAUCCCUUAAGCAGAAUAGCAACAACUUUUGUCUAACUCUGGAUUUUAUUAAGUUCUUAAUUUUAGGGUGGUAAAUAUGGGGACCAAAGUCUUUGGGAGAUCCCAAAUGCAGGAAACAUCCUCCCUGCCCACAUUAACUAACCAGAUGUAUUUAUGCAUAUAUGCUGUGGAGCCAUUACAGAGACAGAUGCGUAUAUCCACAUUACUGUCUUUUCUGCCCAGUGUAUCUGAAGUUUUGCUUAUGUAUGUAGAAGUUUUGCUCUUACCUGGGAGAAAACUGAGGUGUGAAGAGCAGGAGAUUUGCCCUUGCCCACAUGGUAAGUGAAAAGUUGCACCAAAAAGAACUAUCACUCUACAGUGUAGAAAUGUUCUUCCUAGUGAUGUGUUAAUUUUAACAAAAUGUUACCAUAAUGAAGCAGCAUAUUUAACUCAUGGAGGUUUUUUAUAGCAGUACUCUGUAUGUGCAAAGUAAAAUCUGAUAGUAUCUCUAACAGAGUCUUCCCCCCUUUUUUAAAAUAAAGAACUUCAAGAGCAGAGUGGGAGGGUUUUAAUGAUAAAAAUAUAAAGAGUAGGAUUCCUAUCAUCUUUAACUAAGGAUAGGCUCCAUUUCCUAGUUGUUUAACCUCUAAAAAAGAAUUCCAAUUCUUAAGAAAUUUAAGAUACUUUAGAAUCUAAAAUAACACUGAAUAUCAUUAGAAAAUUCCUUUGUCCUCUUAUGAUCAUUUUACUUUGGUAAACAACUUUUCUCAGUAUUCUUCUUAAAGAUCACUAUUUUUAAUUAAGUUGAAUCACGAAAUGGAUAGCAUGGUACAUGCAUUUUGCCCCUGAGAUACUUCGUUUUGAAAGAAUCCUAGAGUAGAGUUGAAGAGAUUAGAGUUGAAGGGAAAUUUAUAAGACAUCAGUCUAAUCUUUGAUUCUGGGUAGGACUGUCAUUUACAACAUACCUGAAAGGAAACCAGGCAGUAUCUAUAAGAAUACGACCAAUGACAGGGACCUCACUCCUUCACACAGUGGUCUACCCUCUGUUCCCCAAUUCUCGUCACUUUAUAGUUCUUCCUCAUUUUGAAUAAAAAUCUACCCAUUCUUUUGCCUGGACCUGACUCCCAAGUGACACAAAGUCUCCUCUUUCUUCGUAUAUGAUUUUUGAGGACUUGUUUCCUUGCUUCAGGCUUUUGUUCUUCCAAACAAAAGAUCUGUCUUUGAUUUGUCCUUUGAUUUGUCUUCCUCUACCUGUGGUUCAGAUCCAUCAGUAUCAUUGAUUUGUCUUCCUCUACCUGUGGUUCAGAUCCAUCAGUAUCGUCCUUCCCUAUGAAAGUCAUUGUCCUUUCAAUCUAUUAUAAUUUCCCAGUCUCCCUUUUAAAAUGUGUACCUCAAAAUUCAUGCAACCUUUGGUAAUCUUCAGAAAUUGCUGCUGCUGAGAAAUGUCCCCUGCUUUAUGUGACUAGCCCAGAAAUGUCCCCUGCUUUAUGUGACUAGCCCUCUUCAGCUCACUGGGCUCUUUCAGUGACAUUGGGUCUGAGGACCUACCUUUGCCAAGGUCUCAUCAUCCAGGUGAUUCUUCUGAAUCACAUGUUGAAGUGCAAAAUAAAUUUUUUCCUGAAGCUUCUGGACCUUCCUUGGUUCUAUCAGCCAGGCUCGGUCUGACAAAGGGAAAGAAUGGGUAAGGAGCGGACAGAAUGUAAGCUUUGUUGUAUUUCACCUACAUACAUAUAAGUGCUGAGUACCAGACCCAUUCCAAAUUAGUUCCAAAUUGCUUCUGAAGACAUGUCAUUAUUUUUCUAAAACAAAUAUUUUGUAAGAAAUUCUAUGAUGACAGUAAUGUAUAAUACAUUGACAUACAGAAUCAGGGUGGAGGUAAAGACACAAUGGUUCAGAGAAACUCCAUGUAUCUUAUUGUCUGUGACAAUUUACAUCUCUUACUCUUUCUCUGGACAUAUGCUUAGAUUUUCUUUCAAAGUUUAUGUUAAUGAUUUGUGAAGAAAUUAAUUAUAGAAGUGAAGAAAACCUAUUGUAAAGGAGUGUUUUUGGAAUUCAGAAUCUCCCUUCCCUUUUAUAAGCUAAGUUAUAAUUUAUAUAGCAUCAACAUGAAUCAAUUAAAAAAUUUAAUCCUGAGUCCUCUUUUUCUAUAUUGAAUUUAAUAGAUAGGAUAAUCCCUCCUUUCCUUUAGCCUUUCCCACUUUCCUUUCUUUUUUCUUUCCUCCCUCCCUCCCUCUCUUUGUUCCCUGCUUCCGUCCUUCCUUUCUUCCUAGACGCUUUAUACCAUGGUGACAAAAUUCAGCCCAGUGUCAACGCCUAAGGUUGAAACUUCAAUGAAGAGACACCUAGAGUCUCCAAAUUCUGAACAAAUACUCAUGGAAAAGAACUUGGACAUGAUCCUUCUGAACACAGUUCAGGUCAGGAACCGGAGUGAAACCAGCUCCCUCAUCGUGGACUCAAAGGCUUAGAACUAAUCGUCACCUGAACUAUAAUCAAUGGGAGCAAUCAAAUGCAAUGAGAAAACGAACUUAUGGAGACUGCUUUUUGGUACAAAAAAAAAUUCAAGGGGGCUCCCCUGGUGGUGCAGUGGUUGAGAGUCCGCCUGCCGAUGCAGGGGACGCGGGUUCGUGCCCCGGUCCAGGAAGAUCCGACAUGCCGCGGAGCGGCUGGGCCCGUGAGCCAUGGCCGCCGAGCCUGCGCAUCCGGAGCCUGCGCGUCCGGAGCCUGUGCUCCGCAACGGGAGAGGCCACAGCAGUGAGAGGCCUGCGUACCGCAAAAAAAAAAAUUCAACGGAAAAGACAUCAAAUCACAUCACUCUCUUAAGUAAUACAGAACUCUGGAAAUGUAUUUUGAUCCUUGGGUUAUUUUCUUUGGAAUGGGAAACAUAAAUCCAAGUUAUGUGUUAAUUCUGUUUUUUAUUGACCAUAACAAUACCUAUGCUUUUGUCUCCUUAUUUAUAUAAAAGUGGUAAGAUUUAAUUAUUCCACUGGAGAAAAAUCAGUAUGUUGUAGUCAUAUAUUUCUAUAUAGACACAUUUAUAUAUUUUAUUAAAAUUUCAUUUACCAGUAGGUUUUGUGAUUAUGGAUCUCAAUCCUGUAGAAAAUUAAUGUGAAUCAAAACAACAACAACAAAAACAGCAACAAAUUUCUUCUCUUAAAACCUUCUCUAAUGGACACAAAAAUAAUCAAAAUAAUAACAGUAAAAAUGUAGGGUGAGUUGUCCCUUUUUCCUUUGGUCCUUUUUAAACAUGUAGGGUAAGAAAAAACAUUCAGAAUGCUUUGUUGCAUAUCUUUGUAGUGUAAGUUUGCAGCUAUUAUUAUUAUGCUAUGACUUUUUCAAUUGCUCCUAUUCCUUGCCUGGCUGCAAGAAACCACUAUGAGAUGUCCUAAAAUCACCUGAUGUGGGCACAGUCUCCCCAGUCACUCAAAUAGGGCAGUGGUUUUCAAUCGGGGUCGUUUUGCCCCCCAGGGAACAUUUGGCAACAUCUGGAGACAUUUGGGUUGUCACAACUAUGGGUGAGGGGAUGCUACUGGCACCUAGUGGGUAGAGACCAAGGAUGAUGCUGAACAUCCUACAAUGUGCAGGACAAUCCUUACAGCAAAGAACUGUCCAGUCUGAAAUGUCAACAGUGCAGAGGUUGAAAAAGCCAGAAACAGAGAAAUCACAGAAAAACUUUCCUGUAGUUUCCCAGAGUACCUUGCUUUGAUACGCUUUAAUUUCUUCAUAUGUGUGGAUCUGCCAUGCCAGCUGGUGUAGCUCCUCCAUGGUGUACUGACAUGUCUCCAGAUGGGACUUAAUGAUGUUCUGCGCAAUUCGAUCUAUGAGAAAGAAUAUCAGUUUGAGGGUUUGUGAAUAAAAUCCCACUCUGCGGAAAGAAACCUGCUGUUAAUGUGUUUCCUGUAGGAAUGCCUUUUGGAGCUACUCCAAUUGUAUGAGCAUGUCUUUAACAUUACUAUCUAUUUAAAAAUCUCCAGACAAACUCUUUACUGCUUUUUUUCAAUUUUCAGUCUUUUUAUCAAAAUUAACUGCCUUUUCCUCCUCUUUUUGGUCACAAAACUGGGGUCUUAAAGUUUUAAAAUGUUCAAAUAGAUAUUUAUUUUAAAAAUAAAUACAAAUUACCAUGUACCAUGUUUCUUGAUUUUGGGCCUGAAAGUCCACUCACAGUCUUGUAACACUUGUCACACUGUAACAGUCAGUGUAAACUCCAAAAACUUUAAAAUAUUUGGAAAAUCACUAGAUCCCCAGUGUUUAUCUCAGAAAGGAGGAAUUGAAAUAUAAAUGUUUUGCUUGUAUUUUAAAAAGGGAGGAUUAAACAAUAAUCUAAGAAAAUAGUUUUCUAUAGAGGAAAGAGAAGAGAAUGGGGGCACAGGGAUAGAAGCCAGACUUCUCUGAUGGUAUUGUUUUUGUAGAUGUUACUUUGGAACCACGUAGAUAUCUUCCAUAAAUAAUGUGAGAGGGAGAUGAAAUGAUAUGGACUCAUGAGGUGAUAAUUUUGAAGCUGGGUCAUGAGGGCCCUUAUAUUCUUCUUUCAAAUUUUUCAUAAGAUAAAAUUUUUCCCUGAAAAAGUUAAAAAAGAGGAAAUGGUUUUACUCAUUAAAAAAGUAGAAAUAAACACAAUCAAUUUGGGGGGGCCAUUUAUUCCAAAUGCGUUGUAUUUAGUAUUGUAUCUUAAAUAUCGAUUAUUUUGGGUUUCGAGGUAUGGAAGUUGAGUAAUAGAACCAGACAUAAGAGCUCUCCUUAACAACCUGCAGGGAGUGCCCCGAAGUGGGAUAGAGCUGGCAGAAGGUCCCCUCAUAAUCCCCCCUCUGCUAUUUGAACAUGUGAAGGUGACAUCUUGGAAUUCUGUACUUAGGAAUUCUGUAAGUGGGAUAUGAGUAGAAUGAAGAUGACCAAAUUUUCUGCCUGGUAACUGUUCUUGGCUCAUAUAGAAAUGGAGUUUUUCUUGUGUUUCAGGUGGUGCCAGUUUAAAUGCAAUUUCUGUUCUUUCUAAAUAGCAAUACUUCAUUUCUCCAGGGUAACUCUCAAAGCAGUACUCAGGUCCCGUUUUCUUUUUGUACCUUGCUAAGCUUCUGGUAUAUAUGGAGUGAAAUAAAUUGAGUUUUAGUAACGCAGAGAAUAAAAAAUGUAAGCUUAAGCUUCUAAUGCACCUUCGAAAUAAAAAAAUCUCGUAUAUCCAUUGCCUGGCACAUUAUAAACACUGAAUAAAUGGUAGCCACGAUUGUCAUUAUUAGGACAUUCUACAUAGUUUUUCAUCAGGGAAGGAAUCUGACCACCCAGUGGAGAUGAAACGGAGCUAUUUAAUUUUGGAAUCAGUGCUACUGAAGGAAGAUAUUUCGAUAUUUAUUAAAGUUGUUCAAUCAGAACUAUAAACUGAUGGAUGUAGAAGAUGCUACAAAAUGCUAACUUAUGAUUAUGGCUAUGCUCUAUUGGAUUCAGCAUUGAGCAUUUCUAGACUUUCAUUGCUUAUCAUGUUAUAAAAAUCCUUUCUUUAAAAAAUCCUAUAUUCAAAAAUUUAUUGAACGUCCUCCUAUGUUGUAAAAAAGGGCAGGAAAUAUUCUAUACAU